This 204-nucleotide non-coding RNA is filed under the name Rhodopseudomonas palustris. RNAcentral also lists the same sequence under 1 other name. The record is from RNAcentral. Lineage: Bacteria; Pseudomonadati; Pseudomonadota; Alphaproteobacteria; Hyphomicrobiales; Nitrobacteraceae.
CAUCUAGAUGAUUGUGACGGUUCCCCUUCCGGGGAUCAAAAGGGAAUGCGGUGCGGACCUCUUCGGAGGACCAAUGCCGCAGCUGUUCCCGCAACUGUAAGCGGUUCGACUUUCGUCGGAAUGCCACUGGGAAACUCGGUCCUGGGAAGGCGACGAAAGCUAACACCCGCGAGCCAGGAGACCUGCCGUCAUUCGUGGUCACAC